ACGGGUGAGUAAUAUAUCGGAACGUGCCCAAUCGUGGGGGAUAACGUAGAGAAAUUUACGCUAAUACCGCAUACGAUCUAAGGAUGAAAGCGGGGGAUCGCAAGACCUCGCGCGAUUGGAGCGGCUGAUAUCAGAUUAGGUUGUUGGUGAGGUAAAAGCUCACCAAGCCGACGAUCUGUAGCUGGUUUGAGAGAACGACCAGCCACACUGGGACUGAGACACGGCCCAGACUCCUACGGGAGGCAGCAGUGGGGAAUUUUGGACAAUGGGCGAAAGCCUGAUCCAGCAAUGCCGCGUGCAGGAAGAAGGCCUUCGGGUUGUAAACUGCUUUUGUACGGAACGAAACGGCUCUUUCUAAUAAAGAGGGCUAAUGACGGUACCGUAAGAAUAAGCACCGGCUAACUACGUGCCAGCAGCCGCGGUAAUACGUAGGGUGCGAGCGUUAAUCGGAAUUACUGGGCGUAAAGCGUGCGCAGGCGGUUAUGUAAGACAGUUGUGAAAUCCCCGGGCUCAACCUGGGAAUUGCAUCUGUGACUGCAUAGCUAGAGUACGGUAGAGGGGGAUGGAAUUCCGCGUGUAGCAGUGA
Molecule: ribosomal RNA, 586 nt
Filed under: Polaromonas sp. RDB-023
Lineage: Bacteria; Pseudomonadati; Pseudomonadota; Betaproteobacteria; Burkholderiales; Comamonadaceae
Also listed under: 2 other names
Description: bacterial SSU rRNA
Rfam family: Bacterial small subunit ribosomal RNA
Source: RNAcentral